UGAUGAAAUACCUACCUCACAGGGUUGUUAUGGAGGUUGAAUUAGUCAGUGUAUUCAAUUAUUAGUAUGAAGGAGUGAAAGAGCCCUUGACUAAAGUGGUGAAGCCUGAAGAAGGAUCAGAUUGAGGGGGAAGGUCAAGAGUUUGGCUUUGAGAAGGAAUUCAUUCCAAGAGAAAUGAGUGCCUAUGUCUACAAAAUGACUUGUGCAAGAAUUUUCACAGCAGAUGUAUUCAUAGCUCGAACUGGAAAUAGCUCCAUGUUCACCACCAGGGGAAUUAAUAAACAAAUUAU
Phyllostomus hastatus (greater spear-nosed bat) is the source of this 290-nucleotide long non-coding RNA. RefSeq lists it as uncharacterized. NCBI's taxonomy places the organism in Eukaryota, Metazoa, Chordata, Mammalia, Chiroptera, Phyllostomidae. The transcript is spliced from 3 exons. The record is from RefSeq and is a predicted model, not a curated record.